UCCCUACGGGGGCAGCAGUGGGGAAUAUUGGGCAAUGGAGGAAACUCUUACCCAGCAAUGCCGCGUGAAUGAAGAAGGUCUUCGGAUUGUAAAGUUCUUUAAUUGGGGACGAAAAAAAUGACGGUACCCAAGGAAUAAGCCCCGGCUAACUACGUGCCAGCAGCCGCGGUAAUACGUAGGGGGCAAGCGUUGUUCGGAAUUACUGGGUGUAAAGGGAGCGCAGGCGGCACGGCAAGCCUGAUGUGAAAGCCCGCGGCCCAACCGCGGGACUGCAUUGGGAACUACCGGGCUGGAGUGCCGGAGAG
RNAcentral lists this ribosomal RNA (305 nucleotides) under uncultured bacterium. RNAcentral describes it as "bacterial SSU rRNA". It matches the Rfam family "Bacterial small subunit ribosomal RNA", at positions 335 to 656 of the family's 1533-position model. The record is from RNAcentral.